GAAGAGCCAUAGCUCCGUGGGAGAGCAUCUGCUUUGCAUGCAGAAGGUCCCAAGUUUGAUUCCAAGCAUCUUCA
Podarcis lilfordi (Lilford's wall lizard) is the source of this 74-nucleotide non-coding RNA. Lineage: Eukaryota; Metazoa; Chordata; Lepidosauria; Squamata; Lacertidae. The record is from the annotation of a GenBank genome assembly.